CACAUGGAGGAAUCAAGUGCUGUUUGUCCCAGCUCGAGGCCAUCAUAGAUCAUCUUUCAACUGCUGACCCCCAGACACGUGACAUUCCUGCCCUUGGAUGGAGGGUCACAGCUGUUUCCUUGCCAGAGAGAUAUUCAGUUUCAAGUGCAGUGGCUUUUAAAUUAUAUCACCUUCCUGGGCAGUACUGCAGGGGCCCAGCUUUGAUCCCUGCUCAGGGAACUAGAUCCCACAUGCUGCAAUGAAGAGUUUGCAUGCCAUCACUAAAGAUCCUGGAUGCUGCAACAGAGCUGGAAGAACCUGUGUGCCACACCUAAGACGAGGACUGGACCUGUGGGUUGCCGUGUGUGUACAUCUGCAGCUUUGAUAGAUCUUGCCAAAUUAUUCUGCAAAGAGAUUGCACCAAUUCCCAUAUCCACUUCUUGAAUAUUCCAGCAAGUUUUCCUUUCUGAGGGCUCAAAUUGAAGAACAGAAAAGAGAAAUACAAUCCAAAAUGGUUUAAACAGCAGUGAUGCCUUUCGUGGCAGAGGUCGGUUGGGACCCGCACAGUCCUCCAUCAAGGAUGCAGCUGGGCUCAGACUUGGAGCCACGGAGCCAGGCUGUGGUGGAGGAGAGCACCUGGGGUAGGCCUGAGGAGUGCACAGCCAGCUGGAGAAGAGGGAGAGAACCUCUCCAAGGAACAGCCCUGGGAACAAGGUCCCAUGAAGCUCAGAAGUAUCAG
Long non-coding RNA from Dama dama (fallow deer), 718 nucleotides. RefSeq lists it as uncharacterized. The transcript is spliced from 7 exons. Lineage: Eukaryota; Metazoa; Chordata; Mammalia; Artiodactyla; Cervidae. The record is from RefSeq and is a predicted model, not a curated record.